Molecule: long non-coding RNA, 562 nt
Filed under: Ficedula albicollis (Collared flycatcher)
Lineage: Eukaryota; Metazoa; Chordata; Aves; Passeriformes; Muscicapidae
Description: lncRNA (ENSFALG00000023634.1)
Source: RNAcentral
UGGAGAUAAAGGAAGAAUACAGUAGCGAAUAAUAAAGAGAAAAUAAUUCAUGUGUCCAGGAUGAGUGCAGCCUUUAUAGGGAUGAAGAAUAUUUGACCAUGAACACCACUAGAAGGCAAAAAAGUGUCUAUUGUUCCUAAAAUAAGUAGGAUCUUCUUUAGCAGUCCUUAGGUAAUCUGCCUGUGCAGUGAUCUAAAGGUGUACCCUGCUUUCUGUUUUUGAUGUGUUCAUGCUCUCUGAUUCACAGCCCUGGCUGCAUGCUUGAUGGUGGGAGGAAGAAGGACCCCACUGGAGUGCAAAGGUUGGUCUGAUUCUUAGAAAAUAUCUACAGAGUGCAACGAAGUUCUUCACAGCAAAGUCAUGACUGGGACCUUCCCUCCUUCAGGCUAACUCAACAGAUCAUGUCAUGGCACACAAGAAAUGUGAUUCUGCAGAACUGCGCAAUCCAAAGAUAAUGAAAAUUCAUAAAGAAUUGAUAAAAAACAGAGGAAGUAUUAGGGAUAUUCCUGAAGAAGCUGUAUCAGUAGGGGAGUUUCUAUUACAGGUUGUGUCCUUUGCAUGA